CAACCGGCGCAAUUUCCUACCCGUUUUUGCCGGAUUUUAUGCCCUAGCGGUUUCAUAAAGAAAACGGGGUUGUAUUUUGCGACCGAAAUUCUACUACGUCGACUUUUAUGCCCAACAGCUGUUUUUGGAGAGAAAUGCAGCAGAUCGGUUUCAUAAAACGAUGCAUUUUACACUCAAGUAAUUUUUCAUGUUCUUGAUAUCCCACAAAAUUCUGCGUUGCUCUGAGCUGCAUAAAUUUGACCAAACUUUGACAUCAACAGUUGUCUUGAACAUCGAAGUGUGGAAGUGAAUCGAAUUUUCUACCUAUUUAUUUUGAAAUAACUAUUUGACCAAGAAUCAGGAGCUUUGAAGGCACAAGGCAGUAAGUAAUACUUCGUUUGUAGACCGUAAAAAUGUAUUGUUGGGCUGUUGGCAAAUCAAAAUAUUUGCUGUGUCGAAUUUUCUACCUACUUAUUUUGAAAUAACUAUUUGACCAAGAAUCAGGAGCUUUGAAGGCACAAGGCAGUUCACUGGUCUCAAGUCAAAGUUGUCAGUAUUGCGAGUGCAUACCUACAUCAAUUGAAGGUCUUCCAACCAAGAGCGCGCCAGCUGUGACCAGCCAGCUGGUGCAGAGGGCAUAUCAGGAGAAGCCGUCCUGGCUCAUCACACCACGGCCGUGCCGUCCGCUGCCGGUUCCGUGUUGGAACCCGGAGCGCUGGAGUGGCCUCCGCGCGCAUCUCUGAACCUCUCCAGCCGCAUCCAGUCACCGGGACCGCGGCCGCCCAUGAGGACGUCAUUAGAGAGCAGAAGGAGCUGCGCGCACGGCUGCAGCAGUUCAUGGGCGGCGGCGCUGUGGACUCUGCCGAGCACGAGAAGCUGCCACCCCGACCGAGCUGAGCGGUCCGCUCGCCCUGGCCGAGGUGGCGCGCUAGCAGGCCGCCCAGCGGAUACUGUCGCUGAUCGAGCAGAUCGGCGCCAGCGAGUACGUGGACGGACACGCGGCUCCGCUGCACGUGUGCCAGCACUGCGGCGCCCGCGGCAAGCGCGUCCCAUAAUAGUUGGACCAGACUGUGCAAAACCGCCUAUAUUAAACCGUUUCAGUGUCUGACACUGUGUGAUGGGGCCGGCUGCGUCCCCGACUGGGCGAGUGAACGAUUCGCCUCCGCAGCGGGGCAUAUAUUGCUCAAAAUGGUGGGCGAGUCGUCUUCAGCGAGUUUCGAGGAAAUUAUUAGCGUGUUGCCAUGUUGGGGGCGGAUCGGCGUCUGUCUGGGUGGUUACGUUUGGAAUUGUUUCAUUGUUUAUUUUAUAUCACAAUGCAUGAAUUUUUUGGUGAUAAACAUAUGCACGGUGUACUUCAUCAGCGACGCCACGACGCACCUGAACGUGCAGUCAGCGGCCGGCUGCGUCCCUUUCCUACCCCACCCGCCAAAAUUUCUGAAAAUGUGUGCUUUGGUCCGGUCGGAAACAAUCCUUGCUUUUACAAAAUUUGUGAUUUAUUCAUAAUUCAUGGCCAGCAAUAGCAUAAUUACCUUUUCAUUAGUAGAAUAACAGCUGUUGGAAUUUGCAUCGCAGCUAUCAGAGCGAUUCCGGUUAAACUUCAAACACUUGUCUCAAACGAUCUCAGAUGUGCGGACUAGCAAAUAAAGCAACGACACAAC
This 1637-nucleotide long non-coding RNA is filed under the name Amphibalanus amphitrite. RNAcentral's name for it is "uncharacterized LOC122369690, transcript variant X1". The record is from RNAcentral. Lineage: Eukaryota; Metazoa; Arthropoda; Thecostraca; Balanomorpha; Balanidae.